This 96-nucleotide ribosomal RNA is filed under the name uncultured bacterium. RNAcentral describes it as "partial 16S ribosomal RNA". The record is from RNAcentral.
CCGCCCGUCACAUCACGAAAAGUGGGCUGCACUAGAAGCCGGUCCGCCAACCCGCAAGGGAGGCAGCCGUCCAAGGUAUGGCUCAUGAUUGGGGUG